RNAcentral lists this ribosomal RNA (465 nucleotides) under uncultured bacterium. RNAcentral describes it as "partial 16S ribosomal RNA". It matches the Rfam family "Bacterial small subunit ribosomal RNA", at positions 338 to 795 of the family's 1533-position model. The record is from RNAcentral.
CCUACGGGAGGCAGCAGUGGGGAAUAUUGCGCAAUGGGCGAAAGCCUGACGCAGCGACGCCGCGUGAGGGAUGAAGGUCCUCGGAUCGUAAACCUCUGUCAGCAAGGAAGUACGGUCACUGUGCUAAUCAGCAGUGAAUUGACGGUACCUGCAAAGGAAGCACCGGCUAACUCCGUGCCAGCAGCCGCGGUAAUACGGAGGGUGCGAGCGUUAAUCGGAUUUACUGGGCGUAAAGCGCUCGUAGGCGGUAUGUCAAGUCAAGUGUGAAAUCCCCGCGCUCAACGUGGGAACUGCCUUUGAUACUGGCAGACUGGAGUGUGUGAGAGGAUAGUGGAAUUCGAGGUGUAGGAGUGAAAUCCGUAGAUAUCUGGAAGAACAUCAGUGGCGAAGGCGACUAUCUGGCACAUAACUGACACUGAGGAGCGAAAGCGUGGGUAGCAAACAGGAUUAGAUACCCCUGUAGUC